ACGAACGCUGGCGGCGUGCUUAACACAUGCAAGUCGAACGGAAAGGCCCUGCUUGCAGGGUACUCGAGUGGCGAACGGGUGAGUAACACGUGGGUGAUCUGCCCUGCACUUCGGGAUAAGCCUGGGAAACUGGGUCUAAUACCGGAUAGGAGCCAUUUUUAGUGUGAUGGGUGGAAAGUUUUUUCGGUGUAGGAUGAGCUCGCGGCCUAUCAGCUUGUUGGUGGGGUAAUGGCCUACCAAGGCGGCGACGGGUAGCCGGCCUGAGAGGGUGGACGGCCACAUUGGGACUGGGAUACGGCCCAGACUCCUACGGGAGGCAGUAGUGGGGAAUAUUGCACAAUGGGCGCAAGCCUGAUGCAGCGACGCCGCGUGGGGGAUGACGGCCUUCGGGUUGUAAACUCCUUUCGCUAGGGACGAAGCUUUUUGUGACGGUACCUAGAUAAGAAGCACCGGCUAACUACGUG
RNAcentral lists this ribosomal RNA (464 nucleotides) under uncultured bacterium. Its description in RNAcentral is "partial 16S ribosomal RNA". It matches the Rfam family "Bacterial small subunit ribosomal RNA", at positions 29 to 507 of the family's 1533-position model. The record is from RNAcentral.